This 330-nucleotide ribosomal RNA is filed under the name uncultured Aquicella sp. Its description in RNAcentral is "bacterial SSU rRNA". It matches the Rfam family "Bacterial small subunit ribosomal RNA", at positions 568 to 898 of the family's 1533-position model. The record is from RNAcentral. Lineage: Bacteria; Pseudomonadati; Pseudomonadota; Gammaproteobacteria; Legionellales; Coxiellaceae.
UGCGUAGGCGGUUCUAUGAGUGUGAUGUGAAAGCCCUGGGCUCAACCUAGGAAGUGCAUCGCAAACGAUAGAACUGGAGUAUGUGAGAGGGUGGCGGAAUUUCCGGUGUAGCGGUGAAAUGCGUAGAUAUCGGAAGGAACGUCGAUGGCGAAGGCAGCCACCUGGCACAAUACUGACGCUGAGGCACGAAAGCGUGGGGAUCAAACAGGAUUAGAUACCCUGGUAGUCCACGCUGUAAACGAUGAUAACUAGAUGUUGGUAGGGGAACCUAUCGGUAUCGAAGCUAACGCGAUAAGUUAUCCGCCUGGGAAGUACGGCCGCAAGGUUGAA